Molecule: small RNA, 28 nt
Filed under: Bombyx mori (domestic silkworm)
Lineage: Eukaryota; Metazoa; Arthropoda; Insecta; Lepidoptera; Bombycidae
Description: ovarian small RNA-25274
Source: RNAcentral
UCACGAUUCACCUAAUCCACAAGGACCG